AGACCCCAGCAAUUUGUAUGCAGUCUCAUGUGAACUCUUGGAUUUGGAAGGCAGUUUUGCCUCCUUUUUUUUUUUUUUUUUUUUUUAAAGAAAAAAACUCUGCUGUUCAGCUUCUUGUGCUUAAUGAGUCUGUUCGGAAGGGAAAACUAGCAAACAACCAAACAGGAGUUCUGCCCUUUAAGCAAUUGCUUUCUAGGUUCUUUAUCAGAAUAUCAUUGGGCUGUAAAGGAUUCUCCAGAUUUCUUCUGUACAUGGGGAUAGCUCCUAUGGUGGAAAAUGGCAAUUUAUGUGGGAUAAGAACUGACCUUACGCAUGCGUCCUCUGCAAGCUUUCUAUGGAAUCCAGGUAAAAAAUGGAAAUAUCAAGGUGAUGGAAUCUGUCUGAAGAAGGGUAGAGCAAUGAUUUUGUGGCAAUUAAAGUCAUUUAAAACAAACAAAAGAUGUUACUUGAAGCCCAAGUUGUAAGGUAAUAGUUAAACUCUCCUUUC
RNAcentral lists this long non-coding RNA (487 nucleotides) under Capra hircus (goat). RNAcentral's name for it is "lncRNA (ENSCHIG00000006905.1)". The record is from RNAcentral. Lineage: Eukaryota; Metazoa; Chordata; Mammalia; Artiodactyla; Bovidae.